UACGAAGGGUGCAAGCGUUAAUCGGAAUUACUGGGCGUAAAGCGUGCGUAGGUGGUCUUUUAAGUCCGUUGUGAAAGCCCUGGGCUCAACCUGGGAAUGGCAGUGGAUACUGGAAGGCUGGAGUACGGUAGAGGAGGGUGGAAUUCCACGUGUAGCAGUGAAAUGCGUAGAUAUGUGGAGGAACACCGAUGGCGAAGGCAGCCCCCUGGGCUAGUACUGACGCUCAUGCACGAAAGCGUGGGGAGCAAACAGG
RNAcentral lists this ribosomal RNA (253 nucleotides) under uncultured bacterium. RNAcentral's name for it is "partial 16S ribosomal RNA". It matches the Rfam family "Bacterial small subunit ribosomal RNA", at positions 524 to 776 of the family's 1533-position model. The record is from RNAcentral.